This 292-nucleotide ribosomal RNA is filed under the name uncultured bacterium. RNAcentral describes it as "partial 16S ribosomal RNA". It matches the Rfam family "Bacterial small subunit ribosomal RNA", at positions 505 to 796 of the family's 1533-position model. The record is from RNAcentral.
GUGUCAGCAGCCGCGGUAAUACAGAGGGUGCGAACGUUGUUCGGAAUUACUGGGCAUAAAGAGCACGUAGGCGGCACCGCAAGUGUGGGGUGAAAUCCCACGGCUUACCCGUGGAACUGCCUGGCAGACUGCGGUGCUAGAGGUUGGUAGGGGAGAGCGGAACUCUUGGUGGAGCGGUGAAAUGCGUAGAUAUCAAGAGGAACACCGGUGGCGAAGGCGGCUCUCUGGAACAAUCCUGACGCUGAGGUGCGAAAGCUAGGGGAGCAAACGGGAUUAGAUACCCCGGUAGUCC